CCUACGGGAGGCAGCAGUGGGGAAUUUUGCGCAAUGGGGGGAACCCUGACGCAGCAACGCCGCGUGCGGGAUGAAGGCCUUCGGGUUGUAAACCGCUUUCAGCAGGGAAGAUAGUGACGGUACCUGCAGAAGAAGCCCCGGCUAACUACGUGCCAGCAGCCGCGGUAAUACGUAGGGGGCGAGCGUUAUCCGGAUUCAUUGGGCGUAAAGCGCGCGUAGGCGGCCCGGCAGGCCGGGGGUCGAAGCGGGGGGCUCAACCCCCCGAAGCCCCCGGAACCUCCGCGGCUUGGGUCCGGUAGGGGAGGGUGGAACACCCGGUGUAGCGGUGGAAUGCGCAGAUAUCGGGUGGAACACCGGUGGCGAAGGCAUUGUGCCGGGGCAGCACUGACGCUGAGGCUCGAAAGUGCGGGUAUCAAACAGGAUU
This 424-nucleotide ribosomal RNA is filed under the name uncultured Ruminococcus sp. RNAcentral's name for it is "partial 16S ribosomal RNA". It matches the Rfam family "Bacterial small subunit ribosomal RNA", at positions 338 to 779 of the family's 1533-position model. Lineage: Bacteria; Bacillati; Bacillota; Clostridia; Eubacteriales; Oscillospiraceae. The record is from RNAcentral.